AACGCACCUUGCGCCCCUUGGCAUUCCGAGGGGCACACCCGUUUGAGUGUCGUGAAAUCAUCAAAAAUCUUUUUCUUUGAAAAGGAUUUUUGGACUUGGAGGUUUCAUGCUUGCUUUUGCCUUUGAAAGCGAGCUCCUCUGAAAUAAAUUAGUGGGGUCCGCUUUGCUGAUCCUUAAUGUGAUAAGAUGUUUCUACGUUUUGGAUUUAGCACUGUCCCUUGGACGCCUGCUCCUAACUAGUUGUCCCUUGGACAAUGAUGGUGCUCCUGGUCACCGCCAUCCACAUUGGCGGGAGGCUGGACCCACAAAAGAAAAACCUUGACCUCAAAUCGGGUGAGACUACCCGCUGAACUUAA
This 356-nucleotide unclassified non-coding RNA is filed under the name Russula sp. Its description in RNAcentral is "partial contains 5.8S ribosomal RNA, internal transcribed spacer 2, and large subunit ribosomal RNA". The record is from RNAcentral. Lineage: Eukaryota; Fungi; Basidiomycota; Agaricomycetes; Russulales; Russulaceae. RNAcentral also lists the same sequence under 2 other names.